This 3020-nucleotide unclassified non-coding RNA is filed under the name Hevea brasiliensis (rubber tree). Lineage: Eukaryota; Viridiplantae; Streptophyta; Magnoliopsida; Malpighiales; Euphorbiaceae. The record is from RNAcentral.
AAGAAAUUGAAAAAGUUGUCGUCCUUUGAGAAUCUGCAACUCCUCACCCUGGAGAGAGAUGAAUUAAACCACGGGAAAAAAAAAGUGAGAGAGAAUCUGUCUUAAACUCCUUGGGUUUUAACAUAAUCGAAGAGUCUCUCUAUAAUUUUCGAUCUCUCUCUACCGUUCUCUUCUUUCCGAGCUCGGUUUUUGUCUCUUUGGCCUUCUGAUUCUCCAUUUCUCGGAAAAAUGGAUGGGUCAACUCACCGAAUUAGCAGUAGUGUUGAUGUGUUUUUACCAAAUUACAAACUUGGUAAAACUCUUGGAAUUGGUUCCUUUGGUAAGGUGAAAAUUGCAGAGCAUGCACUGACUGGCCAUAAAGUUGCCAUCAAGAUACUCAACCGCCGGAAGAUAAAGAACAUGGAGAUGGAAGAAAAAGUGAGAAGAGAAAUCAAAAUCCUGAGAUUGUUUAUGCACCCUCACAUUAUAAGAUUAUAUGAGGUUAUAGAAACACCAACUGAUAUAUAUGUCGUGAUGGAGUAUGUGAAGUCUGGAGAGCUUUUUGAUUAUAUUGUGGAGAAGGGUAGGCUACAGGAAGAUGAGGCACGUAAUUUCUUCCAGCAGAUAAUUUCUGGUGUGGAAUACUGCCACAGGAAUAUGGUUGUUCAUAGAGAUCUUAAGCCUGAGAAUUUGCUUUUGGAUUCUAAAUGCAAUGUGAAGAUAGCAGAUUUUGGAUUAAGCAAUAUAAUGCGAGAUGGACAUUUUCUAAAGACAAGUUGUGGAAGCCCAAAUUAUGCUGCCCCAGAGGUGUGGAGUUAUGGCAUUAAUUUAAUAUGCAAUUCUGAACUUUAAAGUGGGAACAGGAUAAUUCCCCUAUCCUCUUGUAUUCAAGUAAACUGUAUGGUUCUUAUUCAAUUAUCUUAAUUCAAAGGUUUUGUCAUUCUUUCUGUAGGUCAUCUCUGGGAAAUUGUAUGCUGGGCCUGAAGUGGAUGUAUGGAGCUGUGGGGUUAUUUUAUAUGCUCUUCUCUGUGGUACCCUUCCUUUUGAUGAUGAAAACAUUCCCAACCUCUUUAAGAAAAUCAAGGUAUUGGGGAUUCAUUUUGAUCUGAAUGUACUGAUGUUUAUCUUACCAAGCUUACACAUUGGUGGAUAUUCUAACUGCUAUUAUGGAUUCACUGGAGUUUAUUCAUUUUGUGGAGUUCUUUUGCCUUUGUAUCUUUUCAAUUGACCAUUUUGUUUGAGUGCCUAACUAAUAUUUAUUGUUUUGUGAACAUUAGUUCUGCAGUCUCAAUUUUGGAAAGUCAGUGCAGGAUUGACGUUUCAUUAUUUGCAUUUAUAUUAUAUCCCUAGUGGUUUUACAGGAGUAUAGGAGAGUGAAAAUUUAACCAAGAUGUGAGCCAUCCAUCACUUGGCAGUUGGCACACAACUUUAUUGCCAGUUUGCACUGUUUUAUCUGAUCGAACAAAGUUGCAGGCAGGAAUGAGAUGAUUCAAAUUAUCAUCUGAUUUGAUCUUUUCAUAGAGGAUAAGAUUCCAUGUUUUCUUUUCCCAUGAAAGAUUUUUGUACAAUCAUAGGGAUUAUUUGCAUUUAAUGGUUGGUAUUAUAUGUGCUCUUCUGUUCUAUGUACUCUUCUGUUCUUUCUCUUUAUUGUCCCUUGUAUAUUAGUUCUGUAAUUUCUGAUUCCAAACCUGAGUUUUCUGUAAUAUUACACUUGCUAUAGAUUGAACUUAUCUUAUCCCACAUGACAAAUCCUUUAGGGUGGGAUAUAUACUCUUCCUAGCCAUUUAUCACCUGGUGCUAGAGAUUUGAUUCCAAGGAUGCUUGUGGUUGAUCCAAUGAAGCGAAUGACCAUCCCUGAAAUCCGUCAGCACCCAUGGUUUCAAGCUCGCCUUCCCCGUUAUUUGGCUGUCCCUCCACCAGAUACAAUGCAACAGGCUAAAAAGAUUGAUGAAGAAAUUCUCCAGGAAGUGGUCAAGAUGGGAUUUGACAGAAACCAACUUAUUGAAUCUCUUCGCAGCAGAAUACAAAAUGAUGCUACUGUUGCAUACUAUUUGUUAUUGGACAAUCGAUUUCGUGUUUCCAAUGGCUAUCUUGGAGCUGAGUUUCAAGAAACAAUGGAUUGUGGUUUCAACCGUAUGCAUCCAAAUGAACCUACUUCUCCAGCAGUUGGGCAUCGCCUUCCAGGAUACAUGGAUUAUCAAGGGGCGGGUUUAAAAGCACAGUUCCCGGUUGAUAGGAAAUGGGCUCUUGGACUUCAGUCACGAGCCCACCCUCGUGAAAUAAUGACAGAAGUCCUCAAAGCCCUGCAAGAACUAAAUGUGUGUUGGAAGAAAAUUGGUCACUACAAUAUGAAGUGCAGGUGGAUCCCAGGCAUUCCUGGUCUUCAUGAAGGCAUGAUUAAUGACCCUCUGCAUAAUAAUCAUUUCUUUGGGGAUGAAUCCACCAUUAUCGAGAAUGAUGGAGUCAUUAAGCCACCAAAUGUGGUGAAGUUUGAAGUGCAGCUUUACAAAACUCGCGAGGAGAAAUACCUGCUCGACUUACAAAGGGUUCAAGGACCCCAAUUUCUCUUCUUAGAUCUUUGUGCAGCUUUUCUUGCACAACUCCGAGUCCUUUAGCAGGAGAAAGGGUAGACUUUCGAGACCUCUGUCCACAGACCUCUUCUUAUGCCUGUGAAUAAGAAAUCACGGUGUAAAUAACUGUCUUUCAGUCUUAGUCUCAUGUUUACUGCUUUUAAUUUCUCCCUCAAUUUUAUAUGGGUGAUUGUUGUGUAAAAGCCAACAUCCAAAAGCACAAGUUGGCUAACUUACUAUUGAUCUGUUUUGAUAGUCUGUUAUCUCUCGCUAGGAUUUUCCUUAAUACUAUUAACCUUAUGGGGAAUUUCAUAAUUUCUAAGAAAGGAUUAACCUCUUCUUCCAUUCAUUGUUGCUUUUCAGCACAAAUGUAAUUAUUCUUCUCAUAUUUUUGCUUAUAGCUGUGUUUGUAAUUAUAGAUUCCAAAUUGUUUCCGCUGUACUGCUUUUAACUGCCAAAAUAUAAAUUUGC